AACGAACGCUGGCGGCAUGCCUAACACAUGCAAGUCGAACGAGACCUUCGGGUCUAGUGGCGCACGGUUUCUUAACGCGUGGUAACCUUCCCUUAGGUUCGGAAUAACUCCCCUAAUGGGGUGCUAAUACCGGUUAAUUUCUUCUGACCAAAGAUUUAUCGCCUUUGGAUGGGCCCGCGUUUGUUUAGCUAGUUUGUAGGGUAAAAGCCUACCAAGGCUACGAUACAUAGCUGGGCUGAGAGGAUGAUCAGCCACACUGGGACUGAGAAACGGCACAGACUAGUACGGGAGGGAGCAGAGGGGAAUAGUGGAAAAUGGGCGAAAGCAUGAUACAGCAAUGACGGGUGAGAGAUGAAGGCAUUAGGGUAGUAAAGAUCUUUUAACCGGGAUGAUAAUGACAGUAACGGGAGAAUAAGCACCGGCUAACUACGUG
RNAcentral lists this ribosomal RNA (433 nucleotides) under uncultured bacterium. RNAcentral describes it as "partial 16S ribosomal RNA". It matches the Rfam family "Bacterial small subunit ribosomal RNA", at positions 29 to 507 of the family's 1533-position model. The record is from RNAcentral.